CAAAAACAUGUCUUUUUGAUUAUAAUUUAAAGUCUUGCCUGCCCAAUGAUUAUUUUAAUGGCCGCAGUAUUUUGACUGUGCAAAGGUAGCAUAAUCAUUAGUUUUUUAAUUGAAAGCUGGAAUGAAUGGUUUGAUGAGAAAUAGACUGUCUCUUUAUAAAUUUUUUAUAAUUUUAAUUUUAAGUGAAAAAGCUUAAAUUUUAUAUAAAGACGAGAAGACCCUAUAGAGUUUAAUAUUAGAUUUAUUUAAUUGAUUUUAGGUUUAUUUUCAUAUAAUUAGAUUUAUUAUUUUGUUGGGGUGAUAUAAAAAUUGAAUAAACUUUUUAUUUAUUUUAACAUUUAUUUAUGAAUAUUUGAUCCUUAUUUUAGGAUUAUAAGAUAAAAUUACCUUAGGGAUAACAGCGUAAUUUUUUUUAAGAGUUCUUAUCAAUAAAAAAGUUUGCGACCUCGAUGUUGGAUUAAAAUUUAUUUCUGGUGCAGAAGCUGGAAUAUUAGGUCUGUUCGACCUUUAAAAUUUUACAUGAUCU
Molecule: ribosomal RNA, 526 nt
Filed under: Cardiothorax howitti
Lineage: Eukaryota; Metazoa; Arthropoda; Insecta; Coleoptera; Tenebrionidae
Description: partial 16S ribosomal RNA
Rfam family: Bacterial large subunit ribosomal RNA (bases 394-526)
Source: RNAcentral